UACGGGGGGAGCAAGCGUUGUUCGGAUUUACUGGGCGUAAAGGGCGCGUAGGCGGCCACCGCAAGUCAAUUGUGAAAUCUCCGGGCUUAACUCGGAAAGGUCAACUGAUACUGCGGGGCUAGAGUGCGGAAGGGGCAACUGGAAUUCUCGGUGUAGCGGUGAAAUGCGUAGAUAUCGAGAGGAACACCUGCGGCGAAGGCGGGUUGCUGGGCUGACACUGACGCUGAAGCGCGAAAGCUAGGGGAGCGAACGGG
This 254-nucleotide ribosomal RNA is filed under the name uncultured bacterium. RNAcentral describes it as "partial 16S ribosomal RNA". It matches the Rfam family "Bacterial small subunit ribosomal RNA", at positions 524 to 776 of the family's 1533-position model. The record is from RNAcentral.